UGGAGAACUUCUAAGGUGACCCACUGA
Molecule: non-coding RNA, 27 nt
Filed under: Rattus norvegicus (Norway rat)
Lineage: Eukaryota; Metazoa; Chordata; Mammalia; Rodentia; Muridae
Source: RNAcentral